GACGAACGCUGGCGGCGUGCUUAACACAUGCAAGUCGAACGGUGAAGCGCCUUCCUUUUUGGUGGGUGUGGAUGAGUGGCGAACGGGUGAGUAACACGUGAGUAACCUGCCCCCUUCUUCUGGAUAACCGCAUGAAAGUGUGGCUAAUACGGGAUAUUCUGGGUCUGUCGCAUGAUGGGUCUGGGAAAGAUUGCGCCUUUUGGGUGUUUUUGGUGGGGGAUGGGCUCGCGGCCUAUCAGCUUGUUGGUGGGGUGAUGGCCUACCAAGGCGGUGACGGGUACCGGCCUGAGAGGGUGGACGGUCACACUGGGACUGAGACACGGCCCAGACUCCUACGGGAGGCAGCAGUGGGGAAUAUUGCACAAUGGGCGCAAGCCUGAUGCAGCGACGCCGCGUGAGGGAUGGAGGCCAUUCGGGUUGU
This 421-nucleotide ribosomal RNA is filed under the name Actinomyces sp. oral taxon 171. RNAcentral describes it as "bacterial SSU rRNA". It matches the Rfam family "Bacterial small subunit ribosomal RNA", at positions 28 to 426 of the family's 1533-position model. Lineage: Bacteria; Bacillati; Actinomycetota; Actinomycetes; Actinomycetales; Actinomycetaceae. The record is from RNAcentral.